Molecule: small RNA, 221 nt
Filed under: Arabidopsis thaliana (thale cress)
Lineage: Eukaryota; Viridiplantae; Streptophyta; Magnoliopsida; Brassicales; Brassicaceae
Description: ATSL223830
Source: RNAcentral
UUUUAAUUAAAUGAAUAUUGCUAUUUGUUAGUAUAUAUAUUCGUUGUUACAAAUAUAUCUACGUGUUGUCGUAGCUCAGCGGUAGAGCUCAUAAAACCACGUCGUUUUGAUUUAACAGAAAAUUCUAACAAAAAGUUAACUCCGUUUACAAAAAUUUCACGGCAUGCCCACAAUGGCCCAAUCAACAAAAUUUGACUAUUUAAUCAAAAAAUCAAAAAAAA